UUAUGGACCUCAACAUUGUCACGGUCAUCGUCGCUCUUAUUCGUAACAAAAUCCUACCCAAAGAAAUGGAAAUUCCAAAAGCAAUUAUGAAGACGAAAGUUCAUUAAGUUAAAUUUAUCAUACGGAAGAUCUGAUCACUUCCGAUGAAGAAACUCAACAACAAGUACACUAAAGUCGGAACGCUAUGUCUGAAACAAACAUGGUACUAACAGAAUUGAAAAGAUGGCUGCGGAUAUGAACUCUCUUCUCUGCUCUAUGAAAGCUAGUGAUUUGAUAACUAAAAGAUUUGAAAGUUUACCUGCAUGCGAGCAUUUUAACUGCUGCCAAUUUUUUUCUGUUUUGUUUUGAUUAUAUGCUAACUAAUCGACGAUAACUUUUUGUGAAUAAAUGUUAAUACUUUUUGUGAAAUAUUGUUUCAAAUACAUGGGAUCGUUCAACAAGUGCAUGCUAAUAAAAUUGAACGUGGUUUCUUUGAAUUCAGUUUUCUUCAAUGUCGCGGCGGCAUGUUCCAUUACGGGGGAAGCCAUCUGAAUUCAAGUGACUGUCAAUAACUGUUGUAUUAUUUCUUGGUUUUCGCGUCUUUGUCAAGCUAACGAUCGUUAUUUCUUUUACAGCAUCAGAUGGUGAUUAAAACUUGCUUCUACUCACUUAUCAACCAGAUUCUGUUGAAAUUUUUGGUGGUCAGCGACUUCUUCAAAGAGCAGAUAUCAGCAUAGGAAGCCACAUUACCUCAUUCUUCAGGAUCCGUGCAAGAAGAACAGGAAGAGUUGGCGGUAAAGACAGCUGACUUGUUUCCGCAGACUGGAUGGCGGGCUUGGACUUUUUUUACCAAUGACCAAGGAAACUUACAGACGACUGCACAUGCUGCAAACUAAACUUGUCGAAUGCAUUCCACACGUAGCUGGUCUUAAUCAAAAGGCUUUCAGGUCGGUUGACAUUUAAGGUUCAAACCUAGUGUUACUGUGUUUGUUACCUUGUUUAAGGGCUGUAAUCGUGCGCCUGAACGCUUUGUUGACAUUUAAGGUUGACACCUAGUGUUA
Stylophora pistillata is the source of this 1040-nucleotide long non-coding RNA. The record is from RefSeq and is a predicted model, not a curated record. Lineage: Eukaryota; Metazoa; Cnidaria; Anthozoa; Scleractinia; Pocilloporidae.